CAGCAGCCGCGGUAAUACGAAGGGGGCUAGCGUUGUUCGGAAUUACUGGGCGUAAAGGGCGCGUAGGCGGCCAUUCAAGCUAGAUGUGAAAGCCCUGGGCUCAACCUAGGAAUUGCAUUUGAUACUGUUUGGCUUGAGUUCGGGAGAGGUGAGUGGAAUUCCCAGUGUAGAGGUGGAAUUCGUAGAUAUUGGGAAGAACACCAGUAGCGAAGGCGGCUUACUGGACCGACACUGACGCUGAGGCGCGAAAGCGUGGGGAGCAAACAGGAUUAGAUACCCCGGUAGUCCCUGUCUCUUAUAC
RNAcentral lists this ribosomal RNA (301 nucleotides) under uncultured bacterium. RNAcentral describes it as "partial 16S ribosomal RNA". It matches the Rfam family "Bacterial small subunit ribosomal RNA", at positions 509 to 807 of the family's 1533-position model. The record is from RNAcentral.